This 423-nucleotide ribosomal RNA is filed under the name uncultured bacterium. RNAcentral describes it as "bacterial SSU rRNA". It matches the Rfam family "Bacterial small subunit ribosomal RNA", at positions 355 to 775 of the family's 1533-position model. The record is from RNAcentral.
UGAGGAAUAUUGGUCAAUGGACGCAAGUCUGAACCAGCCAUGCCGCGUGAAGGAUGAAGGCCUUCUGGGUUGUAAACUUCUUUUAUUGGGGAAGAAAACUAUGGUUUCUACUAUAGCCGACGGUACCCAAGGAAUAAGCACCGGCUAACUCCGUGCCAGCAGCCGCGGUAAUACGGAGGGUGCAAGCGUUAUCCGGAUUCACUGGGUUUAAAGGGUGUGUAGGCGGGCUGUUAAGUCAGUGGUGAAAUCUCCGGGCUCAACCCGGAAACUGCCAUUGAUACUAUCAGUCUUGAAUAUCGUUGAGGCAGGCGGAAUAUAUCAUGUAGCGGUGAAAUGCAUAGAUAUGAUAUAGAACACCAAUUGCGAAGGCAGCUUGCUAAACGAUCAUUGACGCUGAGGCACGAAAGCGUGGGGAUCAAACAG